GAUGAACGCUGGCGGCGUGCCUAAUACAUGCAAGUCGAGCGAACAGACGAGGAGCUUGCUCCUCUGACGUUAGCGGCGGACGGGUGAGUAACACGUGGAUAACCUACCUAUAAGACUGGGAUAACUUCGGGAAACCGGAGCUAAUACCGGAUAAUAUAUUGAACCGCAUGGUUCAAUAGUGAAAGACGGUUUUGCUGUCACUUAUAGAUGGAUCCGCGCCGCAUUAGCUAGUUGGUAAGGUAACGGCUUACCAAGGGAACGAUGCGUAGACGACCUGAGGGGGUGAUCGGCCACACUGGAACUGAGACACGGUCCAGACUCCUACGGGAGGCAGCAGUAGGGAAUCUUCCGCAAUGGGCGAAAGCUUGACGGAGCAACGCCGCGUGAGUGAUGAAGGUCUUCGGAUCGUAAAACUCUGUUAUUAGGGAAGAACAAAUGUGUAAGUAACUAUGCACGUCUUGACGGUACCUAAUCAGAAAGCCACGGCUAACUACGUG
This 497-nucleotide ribosomal RNA is filed under the name uncultured bacterium. RNAcentral describes it as "partial 16S ribosomal RNA". It matches the Rfam family "Bacterial small subunit ribosomal RNA", at positions 28 to 507 of the family's 1533-position model. The record is from RNAcentral.